RNAcentral lists this transfer RNA (63 nucleotides) under Dipodomys ordii (Ord's kangaroo rat). It matches the Rfam family "tRNA". From Rfam's summary of the family: Transfer RNA (tRNA) molecules are approximately 80 nucleotides in length. The record is from Rfam by way of RNAcentral. Lineage: Eukaryota; Metazoa; Chordata; Mammalia; Rodentia; Heteromyidae.
GGGUUUGUGGCUCAAGUGGUAGAGCACCUGUCUUGCAAGCAGGAGACAGCCCAUUCAAUCCCU